AUCAUUUGGGAAAAAGUGAAGAA
RNAcentral lists this non-coding RNA (23 nucleotides) under Arabidopsis thaliana (thale cress). The record is from RNAcentral. Lineage: Eukaryota; Viridiplantae; Streptophyta; Magnoliopsida; Brassicales; Brassicaceae.